RNAcentral lists this long non-coding RNA (208 nucleotides) under Musa acuminata (dwarf banana). Its description in RNAcentral is "long non-coding RNA (MACU_LNC009669)". The record is from RNAcentral. Lineage: Eukaryota; Viridiplantae; Streptophyta; Magnoliopsida; Zingiberales; Musaceae.
GAGAUUGUAGAACUUAUUGUAAGAAUUCUUCACAUAAAAUUUUUUUUCUUUUUUUUUUCUCUGUUUCUUUCUCACGCCGCCACCGUUCGCUGCCCUCGGUACCCGUCUCUCUUUUUUUAAUUUUUUUUAAUAAAUCAGAUUUUUGCUUACUAUUCAAAUCACCCAACAUCUGAAUUUGUUUUUUCUCACUAAUGCAAUUUGAUUCAUC